RNAcentral lists this ribosomal RNA (434 nucleotides) under uncultured bacterium. Its description in RNAcentral is "partial 16S ribosomal RNA". It matches the Rfam family "Bacterial small subunit ribosomal RNA", at positions 29 to 507 of the family's 1533-position model. The record is from RNAcentral.
AGCGAACGCUGGCGGCAGGCCUAACACAUGCAAGUCGAACGAACCUUUCGGGGUUAGUGGCGGACGGGUGAGUAACACGUGGGAACGUGCCGUUAGGUUCGGAAUAACUCAGGGAAACUUGUGCUAAUACCGGAUGUGCUCUUCGGGGGAAAGAUUAAUCGCCGUUAGAGCGGCCCGCGUCUGUUUAGCUAGUUGGUUGAGGUAAUGGCUCACCAAGGCGACGAUCAGUAGCUGGUCUGAGAGGAUGAUCAGCCACAUUGGGACUGAGACACGGCCCAAACUCCUACGGGAGGCAGCAGUGGGGAAUCUUGCGCAAUGGGCGAAAGCCUGACGCAGCCAUGCCGCGUGAAUGAUGAAGGUCUUAGGAUUGUAAAAUUCUUUCACCGGGGACGAUAAUGACGGUACCCGGAGAAGAAGCCCCGGCUAACUUCGUG